ACGAGGUGCUGCAUGGCUGUCGUCAGCUCCGUGUCGUGAGAUGUUGGGUUAAGUCCCGUAACGAGCGCAACCCUUGUCCUUAGUUACCAGCACGUUAUGGUGGGCACUCUAAGGAGACUGCCGGUGACAAACCGGAGGAAGGUGGGGAUGACGUCAAGUCAUCAUGGCCCUUACGGCCUGGGCUACACACGUGCUACAAUGGUCGGUACAAAGGGUUGCCAAGCCGCGAGGUGGAGCUAAUCCCAUAAAACCGAUCGUAGUCCGGAUCGCAGUCUGCAACUCGACUGCGUGAAGUCGGAAUCGCUAGUAAUCGUGAAUCAGAAUGUCACGGUGAAUACGUUCCCGGGCCUU
This 351-nucleotide ribosomal RNA is filed under the name uncultured Pseudomonas sp. Its description in RNAcentral is "bacterial SSU rRNA". It matches the Rfam family "Bacterial small subunit ribosomal RNA", at positions 1033 to 1382 of the family's 1533-position model. Lineage: Bacteria; Pseudomonadati; Pseudomonadota; Gammaproteobacteria; Pseudomonadales; Pseudomonadaceae. The record is from RNAcentral.